UGUGGAUUCAUUCUGGAGACUAGCAAAAGCAAGAAGAGACAUAUUCCAUAAUUGUAGCCAAAAUAAGUAUGGAGAGAAACUAGCCAGUAGCUUGUUCCUUUUUUUUUUUUAUAUAUCCAAAGCAGCAAAACUUCUGACAAAACUCCUUGUACCAAGAAGCUUCCAUUAAACUGCAGGCAGAGGAGGAGAAGAAGAAAGACAGCUAAACCACCACCCGCACACUUAAUAUCCGUUUGCUA
This 239-nucleotide long non-coding RNA is filed under the name Cucumis sativus (cucumber). RNAcentral describes it as "long non-coding RNA (CSAT_LNC000406)". The record is from RNAcentral. Lineage: Eukaryota; Viridiplantae; Streptophyta; Magnoliopsida; Cucurbitales; Cucurbitaceae.